AUUGAACGCUGGCGGCAUGCCUUACACAUUCAAGUCGAACGGCAGCACUGGAGCAAUCGUGGUGGCGAGUGGCGAACGGGUGAGUAAUACAUCGGAACGUGUUCAAUCGUGGGGGAUAAAGCAGCGAAAGCUGUGCUAAUACCGCAUACGAUCUAUGGAUGAAAGCAGGGGAUCGCAAGACCUUGCGCGAAUGGAGCGGCCGAUGGCAGAUUAGGUAGUUGGUGAGGUAAAGGCUCACCAAGCCGUCGAUCUGUAGCUGGUCUGAGAGGACGACCAGCCACACUGGGACUGAGACACGGCCCAGACUCCUACGGGAGGCAGCAGUGGGGAAUUUUGGACAAUGGGCGAAAGCCUGAUCCAGCCAUGCCGCGUGCAGGAUGAAGGCUUUCGGGUUGUAAACUGCUUUUGUACGGAACGAAACGGCCUUUUCUAAUAAAGAGGGCUAAUGACGGUACCGUAAGAAUAAGCACCGGCUAACUACGUGCCAGCAGCCGCGGUAAUACGUAGGGUGCAAGCGUUAAUCGGAAUUACUGGGCGUAAAGCGCGCGUAGGUGGUUCGUUAAGUUGGAUGUGAAAGCCCCGGGCUCAACCUGGGAACUGCAUCCAAAACUGGCGAGCUAGAGUACGGUAGAGGGUGGUGGAAUUUCCUGUGUAGCGGUGAAAUGCGUAGAUAUAGGAAGGAACACCAGUGGCGAAGGCGACCACCUGGACUGAUACUGACACUGAGGUGCGAAAGCGUGGGGAGCAAACAGG
RNAcentral lists this ribosomal RNA (753 nucleotides) under uncultured Comamonadaceae bacterium. RNAcentral's name for it is "bacterial SSU rRNA". It matches the Rfam family "Bacterial small subunit ribosomal RNA", at positions 28 to 776 of the family's 1533-position model. The record is from RNAcentral. Lineage: Bacteria; Pseudomonadati; Pseudomonadota; Betaproteobacteria; Burkholderiales; Comamonadaceae.